GCAGCCGCCGCGGUAAUACGUAGGUGGCAAGCGUUGUCCGGAAUUAUUGGGCGUAAAGAGCGCGUAGGCUGGUCUUUAAGUGAGUGGUGAAAGGUUCGGGCUCAACCCGGACACUGCCUUUCAUACUGGGGACCUUGAGUGUGGGAGAGGCGAGUGGAAUGGUCGGUGUAGCGGUGAAAUGCGUAGAUAUCGAUCGGAACACCCAUGGCGAAGGCAGCUCGCUGGCCUAACACUGACGCUGAGGCGCGAAAGCGUGGGGAGCAAACAGGAUUAGAUACCCCCGUAGUCCCUGUCUCUUAUAC
This 302-nucleotide ribosomal RNA is filed under the name uncultured bacterium. RNAcentral's name for it is "partial 16S ribosomal RNA". It matches the Rfam family "Bacterial small subunit ribosomal RNA", at positions 508 to 807 of the family's 1533-position model. The record is from RNAcentral.